This 443-nucleotide ribosomal RNA is filed under the name uncultured bacterium. Its description in RNAcentral is "partial 16S ribosomal RNA". It matches the Rfam family "Bacterial small subunit ribosomal RNA", at positions 338 to 795 of the family's 1533-position model. The record is from RNAcentral.
CCUACGGGAGGCUGCAGUGGGGAAUAUUGGGCAAUGGGCGCAAGCCUGACCCAGCAACGCCGCGUGCAGGAAGACGGCUUUCGGGUUGUAAACUUCUUUUCUGAGGGACGAAGAAAGUGACGGUACCUCAGGAAUAAGCCACGGCUAACUACGUGCCAGCAGCCGCGGUAAUCCGUAGGUGGCAAGCGUUAUCCGGAUUUAUUGGGUGUAAAGGGCGUGUAGGCGGGAAAGCAAGUCAGAUGUGAAAACGCAGGGCUCAACCAUGGGCCUGGCGUUGACACUGGUUUUCUUGCGGGCGGGGGAGGCAAGCGGAAUUCCGUGUGGAGCGGUGAAAUGCGUAGAUAUACGGAAGAACACCAGUGGCGAAGGCAGAUUGCUGGACAGUAACUGACGCUGAGGCGCGAAAGCGUGGGGAGCAAACAGGAUUAGAUACCCUUGUAGUC